Molecule: small nuclear RNA, 107 nt
Organism: Suncus etruscus (white-toothed pygmy shrew)
Lineage: Eukaryota; Metazoa; Chordata; Mammalia; Eulipotyphla; Soricidae
Source: RefSeq, a predicted model, not a curated record
GUGCUUGCUUCGGCACCUCAUAUACUAAAAUUGGGACGAUAGAGAGAAAAUUAGCAUGGCCCCUGUGCAAGGAUGACACGCAAAUUUGUGAAGCGUUCCAUAUUUUA